This 2692-nucleotide long non-coding RNA is filed under the name Papio anubis (olive baboon). RNAcentral's name for it is "lncRNA (ENSPANG00000039630.1)". Lineage: Eukaryota; Metazoa; Chordata; Mammalia; Primates; Cercopithecidae. The record is from RNAcentral.
AUGCCACUGCACUCCAGCCUGGGUGACAGAGCGAGACUCUGUCUCAAAAACAAAACAAAACAAAAACUGGCCGGGCGCUGCGGGUUCACACCUGUAAUCCCAGCACUGGGAGGCCGAGACGGGCGGAUCACUUAUCAGGAGAUCGAGAUCCUGGCUAACAUGGUGAAACUCCCUGCCUCUACUAAAAUACAGGGAAUUAGCCAGGCGGUGGUGGCAGGUGCCUGUAGUCCCAGCCUCCCGAGUAGCUGGGACUACAGGCGCCCGCCACCUCGCCCGGCUAGUUUUUUUGUAUUUCUUAAUAGAGACGGGGUUUCACCGUGUUAGCCAGGAUGGUCUCGAUCUCCUGACCUCGUGAUCCGCCCGUCUCGGCCUCCCAAAGUGCUGGGAUUACAGGCUUGAGCCACCGCGCCCGGCCAGGAAUUUUCUACAUAUAUUACAUUGGUUAUGAUUUAAUCUUCAUUUUUAUCCAUAUGCAUUCUUUUCUUUUUCUUGUUUCACUGUUGUUUUGGGAAAAACUUUUUCCUGCGUUCUCACUCCCCCACAGCAAUCAACACAGAGGAAGUCUUCUGUGCCCAAAUGUGUGGGGUUUUUCCCACACACCAAGCAGCAGGCACAGCUGGGUAUCCUCCACUCAGCUCUGACACUGUCUGCCUGGAGAUAGAGUUGGAUACCAUGGGUUCGGGGCUCAGUUCCCAAGACUACCUAUCCCCCCAGACCCUAAUCGCAAGUCUGGGCCUCUCAAACUUUUGACUGACUGGCUUCAUGUUGAGGUUCCCAGGACCCCCUUUUGGGGUUCCAUUAAUUUGCUGGCGUGGCUCACAGCACUCCAGGAAAUGCAUACAUUUACUGGUUUAUUAGAAAGGAUAUUGCAAAAGGGACGGGUGCAGUGGCUCACACCUGUAAUCCCAGCACUUUGGAGGCCAAGGCGGGCAGAUCACUUGAGGUCGGGAGUUCGAGACCAGCCUGGCCAACACGGCGAAACCCCGUAUCCCCGUAAUUUUUGUAUUUUUGUAAAAAUACAAAAAUUAGCCAUGAUGGCGCACACCUGUAAUCUCAGCUACCUGGGGCAGGGGGGUUGGAGGUGGCGAAUUGCUUGAACCCGGGAGGCAGAGGUUGCAGUGAGCCGAGAUCACACCACUGCACUCCAGCCUGGGGAACACAGCGAGACUCCGUCUCAAAAAAAAAAAAAGAAAGGACAUUGCAAAAGAUAUGGAUGAAGAGCUGACUAGGGCCAGGUCUGGGGCGGGGGGUGGAGCUUCCAUACCCCUCCGAGUGCCACUUUCCAGGAACCUUCUGUGUUGUGCAUCCGGAAACUCCACCACCCAGUCCUCUUGGAUCUUUAUGGAGGCUUCAUGACGUCAGCAUUCCUUCCCCCAGGGAAUAGGGCUCUGAGAAGGGUCUUAAGACCCACAGUCGGAGAGGUAGGGGAAGGUUAGACUCCUGCCUUGGGGCAGGCGAAAGGAGACCAGGAGAAGGUCAGAGGCUACCCGAAGCCUAACACAGGCAACGUCAUCACGAAAGACUGUAGCAAGGACCAUGGAGUUAUGAGCCAGGAACCCCGCACGGAAAACGACGUAUUUCAUAACACCACAACUGUGUGCGGACUAGGCCAGAAAUAGUGUGCUGACUAUGCGUGAUAAGACGCUGUAUAUCUGAUCUGGCCUUGUUGACAAGCAUUCAGCAUUUCCUUUUUUUUUUUUUUUUUGAGAUGGAGUCUUGCCCUGUGGUCCAGGCUGGAAUGCAGUGGCGUGAUCUUGGCUCACUGCAACCUCUGCAUCCUAGGUUCAAGCGAUUCUCCUGCCUUGGCCUCCUGAGUAGCUGAGAUUACAGGCGCCUGCCACCAUGCCUAACUAAUUUUUUUUUUUUUUUUGAGACGGAGUUUUGCUCUGUCGCCUAGGCUGGAGUGCAGUGGCACGAUCUCGGCUCACUGCAAGCUCUGCCUCUUGGGUUCACGCCAUUCUCCUGCCUCAGCCUCCCGAGUAGCUGGGACUACAGGUGCCUGCCACCACACCCAGCUAAUUUUUUUGUAUUUUUAGUACAGACAGGGUUUCACCGUGUUAGCCAGGAUGGUCUCAAUCUCCUGACCUCAUGAUCUGCCCGCCUUGGCCUCCCAAAGUGCUGGGAUUACAGGCAUGAGCCACCGCACCUGGCCUGCAAUUUUUUGUAUUUUUAAUAGAGAUGGUGUUUCGCCAUGUUGGCCACACUGGUCUCGGACUGCUGACCUCAAGUGAUCUGCUCACCUUGGCCUCCUGAAGUGCUGGGAUUACAGGCGUGAGCCACUGUGCUGACCACAUUCAGUAUUUCAAUUCAUAUAUUGAAAGCAUUCAGUGGUUGGGCGUGGUGUCUCACGCCUGUGAUCCCAACACUUUGGUAGGCCAAGGCAGGAGGAUACUUUGAGCCCAGGAGUUCAAGAUCAGCCUGGGCAACAUAGUGAGACCCUGUCUCUACAGAAAAUAAAAAAACAGGCCAGGCGUGGUGGCUCACACCUGUAAUCCCAGCACUUUGGGAGGCCAAGGCAGGUGGAUCACUUGAAAUCAGGAGUUUGAGUCUAGCCUGCCUGGCCAACAUGGAGAAACCCCUGUCUCUACUAAAAAUAGAAAAAUUAGCCGGGCGUGGUGACAUGUGCGUGUGCCUGUAGUCGUAGCUACUUGGAAGGCUGAGGCAGGAGAAUCACUUGAAUCCUUGAAAGACA